CUGCCGGUCGGCAGAAGACCAAGUGACCAUAUUUAUAUUCCCCAGUCACCCUUGGGGACAAGUGGCACUAUAACAAUACCAGUGUGAUAUACCCGCAUUUGACAAGCUGUUACAUGUGUCAAGUCAGGCAGCAUUUAGAGGAUGCUCAAACUGCAGAGAAACUGGGGAGAUCAGUUUUACCUACCAACCAUCAUCUACGAUUAGACACCACAAACUUACAUCAAAGAGGGAGGUAUCUUCAACAACUCAGCACAUGUAUACCAACGAAGAAGAGUAUGACCUAUGGAAGCAGUAUGAUGAU
This 301-nucleotide long non-coding RNA is filed under the name Mytilus galloprovincialis (Mediterranean mussel). The record is from RNAcentral. Lineage: Eukaryota; Metazoa; Mollusca; Bivalvia; Mytilida; Mytilidae.